Molecule: ribosomal RNA, 467 nt
Filed under: uncultured bacterium
Lineage: Bacteria
Description: bacterial SSU rRNA
Rfam family: Bacterial small subunit ribosomal RNA
Source: RNAcentral
GACGAACGCUGGCGGCGUGCCUAACACAUGCAAGUCGAACGGACGAGGGGAGCUUGCUCCCUGAGUUAGUGGCGAACGGGUGAGUAACGCGUGAGGAACCUGCCUUCCAGUGGGGGACAACAGUUGGAAACGACUGCUAAUACCGCAUAACAUAUUCGAAGGGCAUCCUUUGGAUAUCAAAGCUUUAUGUGCUGGAAGAUGGCCUCGCGUCUGAUUAGCUAGUUGGUGGGGUAACGGCCCACCAAGGCGACGAUCAGUAGCCGGUCUGAGAGGAUGAACGGCCACAUUGGGACUGAGAUACGGCCCAGACUCCUACGGGAGGCAGCAGUGGGGAAUAUUGGGCAAUGGGGGGAAACCCUGACCCAGCAACGCCGCGUGAAGGAAGAAGGCUUUCGGGUUGUAAACUUCUUUUAGCAGGGACGAAGGACGUGACGGUACCUGCAGAAAAAGCAACGGCUAACUACGUG